Molecule: long non-coding RNA, 1931 nt
Filed under: Equus caballus (horse)
Lineage: Eukaryota; Metazoa; Chordata; Mammalia; Perissodactyla; Equidae
Description: lncRNA (ENSECAG00000036172.2)
Source: RNAcentral
CCUCGCCUUUGCUCCUAGGCCCCAUUGGCAAAUUGCUACAGGCUCACAGCGAUCCGAACCUCUCUGUGCCUCAGUUUCCUCAUCUGUAGAAGGGGAGCAAAAACAGUACCUACCCUCUUGGGGCUGUUGUGAGGAUUAAGUGAGUUAACAUAGGUAAAGCACACAAAACAGUGCCCGGGACAGAGGAAUCAAACCAGGCUAUUUUAGUUUGUGAGAUGGUGAAAUACAUUGAAAGUAGCGAGAGAAAAAAAAAGUGUGAGCGAGAACAUGCCCGCUGCUUCCGCUGGGAUCCUCCCUGGCUGUUCCUGAGUUUUCCAUGGAAAGCACUUAGACGCUCAGAACAAAAGCUAAGUGCCCGUCUUCCUGGAAGGUCAGCCUUGAAGCAAAUUGCAUCUUUGUCACCACCAGUCACAAAGCCCUGCCACCACUUUCGCCUCCUUUUUGAGCAGGAGGACCUUAGGAUCUCAGAGGCCCAUGGACCUUUGGAGGGAUCGAUGUCUGGACACUGGGUUGUGAACUCCUUGGAAGUGCAAUGCAAAAUUUUGAGAUUAAACAGCUUGCCCGAGAUCACAGAGCGAGGAAGUGUCAGAACCGGGCCUCCAAUCCAGGACUGAGGGAUUCCAGAGCCUGACUCCUGUCUACCGUACAAGCUGCUCUUGCUUUGUCACAAGGCAAGUUCUUACUUGACACCCCCAUCUGGGCUGUUGAAAUGGCAUUCUCCUUGGGAGUCUCCAUGCGCAGGCCAUUGAUGCCAAGGGCCCCUACCCCAGGCAGAGACUGCAGCCCAGGCCCUGCCCCAGGAGUGCAGUGUGAGGAGGGGCUGAGAAAGAGCCCUUCUUUGGAAGGAAGAUAAGGAACAAGUGGGACUGAGUCAGGGACUGGGGCUAUCCCAAAAGCAUGCACUCUAAAGGCAUUUAUCCUCUGACCACAGCUAAUGAACCAAUGAGGAAUCAGCAUCAAUAAGAAGCAAAUUAAACACCAGCUCCAGCUAAUUAGUAAGCACAGCUGCCUGCUUUCCUGCAUUCAAUUUCAGACUCACAUUAUGAAUUGCCUCCCUGGAGAAACCGACCCCCUCCUCCCCAAAAAAGGCCUUGAUUCAAUAAACCAACUUUUAAUGGAGCAGCAUCUUUCAAUCGAAGGACGGCAACUUAUCUCUGGGUCCUCGCUCUGCGGUGACACCAAUUCUCCAAGCUGCCCAAUCUCACUCAAGUCUGCUGAACUGAGGAGGCAUGGAAGACAAGCUGCUCCAACCCCUCCUUUGUAGAUGAGGACUCUGAAGUCCAGAGAGGAAGAGUGACCUGCUAAAGGUCACCCAGCAAGUCCAGUGUGCUUCAUACUGAGCAGAAAACCUGCGCUUCUCUCCCUUUCUCAGCCAUGAUGAGAAGGACUCUUGGUAUCAUCUUGGAUCCCUCCCCAAAGAUUCUGGCUCUUUUUGCUGCUGAAAUCAGAAAGAUGAACAAUGAUCGUAUGGUGUAUAGAAUCCAAAACAGCCAGCUUUGCUCUGCUUCCACUAUGAUCAAGCACUUCACAUUCCACAUCAGCUGGACAAAAGACACUGAACCGACACAGCGACAGACUCAUAAACGCUGAAAGAAACCCAAAAUAUCAGGGUCCCCCGUAUAAUAAAUCCUUGAAUACUUCCCUUAAACCGGGACUCUCAACAAAGACGAUUUUAUCCUUGAUUCUUGCUGUGACGAUCUCUGAAGGUACCUUUGUGCAUAUGAUGAGAAAGUUGCUGUUUUCACGCGAUGAGCAGACUAAGGUAAAGCCGGUGAGCUCGGUGACUUUGCAAUUGUCUUCCUUUAAGUAAUUGCCGUGCUUCGGAUUUGAUGAGCCAGUCCUUCUGAAGCCUGACUCCCUUGCACCCUUUGCAAGUAAAAUUUUCUUUCCUAGAUACUUCUGUUUCUGAGUCUUCCUUUGACAGAUGGGAU